CCCGCUGCUUACAAAGGCCCACUAAUCAUUGAAGAUUAUGUUCACGCUCUGAAGCACUGCUGGCGAGAGGACCGAUUGGUAGAGUCGUUCUGGAAGGAAAGAACUAGCUUGUGAGAACUAGUAAUAUUAUCGUUGAAGAAUGCAUUAUCAAGCAAAAUAGAGAAGAAAGCUGCAAAAUAGAUGGGAGACACAAGUGGAUCCUGCCUUGCGGGGAGGAUAGAAGAAAGGACCCUGUAGUGACACUGAAUUAAUAAGCUAGCCAAAGAUGUGGGUAUUCAGACACACAACAGAUGGGCAUAG
This 300-nucleotide long non-coding RNA is filed under the name Homo sapiens (human). Its description in RNAcentral is "HSALNT0121438". The record is from RNAcentral. Lineage: Eukaryota; Metazoa; Chordata; Mammalia; Primates; Hominidae.